UUGAUGUUUAAAAAGGCCUAAAGGAAAGAGAGGACUGGCACUUGUGUUACAAUAUUUUAAGGCAUUCAAGUGCUGGGACUGCUGUGGUAGGAAGAGGUGGGACUGACCGAAAGCAACCAACUUGUGGCAUACCGUCUCUUGGUUAAUAUGGCCUGUGGAGGGACCCCACCUUUUGCUUAUUUACUGGUGCCAUAAAUGUUGCUGAGGUUGCAUGUCUGGUUGGACUUGAUGCAUGGCAUUUGCAUGACACCUAACAGCCUAGCUCU
RNAcentral lists this long non-coding RNA (266 nucleotides) under Aquila chrysaetos chrysaetos. RNAcentral describes it as "lncRNA (ENSACCG00020014985.1)". Lineage: Eukaryota; Metazoa; Chordata; Aves; Accipitriformes; Accipitridae. The record is from RNAcentral.